This 253-nucleotide unclassified non-coding RNA is filed under the name uncultured Solirubrobacteraceae bacterium. RNAcentral's name for it is "contains 16S-23S intergenic spacer region". It matches the Rfam family "Bacterial small subunit ribosomal RNA", at positions 524 to 776 of the family's 1533-position model. Lineage: Bacteria; Bacillati; Actinomycetota; Thermoleophilia; Solirubrobacterales; Solirubrobacteraceae. The record is from RNAcentral.
UACGUAGGGGGCAAGCGUUGUCCGGAAUCAUUGGGCGUAAAGCGCGUGUAGGCGGUUCAGUAAGUCCGCUCUGAAAGUCCGGGGCUCAACCCCGGGAGGCGGGUGGAUACUGCUGGGCUAGAGUACGGAAGAGGCGAGUGGAAUUCCCGGUGUAGCGGUGAAAUGCGCAGAUAUCGGGAGGAACACCAAUUGCGAAGGCAGCUCGCUGGGACGUCACUGACGCUAAGACGCGAAAGCGUGGGGAGCAAACAGG